AAUCAACGCUGGCGGCGUGCCUCAGACAUGCAAGUCGAACGAGAACCUCCCUUCGGGGAGGAGACAGUGGCGCACGGGUGAGUAACACGUGGGUAAUUUACCUUUGGGUGGGGAACAACAGCCGGAAACGGCUGCUAAUACCGCAUAAUGCAGCGGCUCGACAUCGAGACAGUUGUUAAAGCGGGGGAUCGCAAGACCUCGCGCCUGAAGAGAAGCCUGCGGCGGAUUAGCUAGUUGGUAGGGUAAUGGCCUACCAAGGCGACGAUCUGUAACCGGCCUGAGGAGGGCGGUCGGUCACACUGACACUGACAUACGGGUCAGACUCCUACGGGAGGCAGCAGUCGGGAAUUUUGGGCAAAUGGGCGAAAGCCUGACCCAGCAACGCCGCGUGAAGGAUGAAGCUUUCGGAGUGUAAACUUCAUAAGAAUGGGAAGAAU
This 437-nucleotide ribosomal RNA is filed under the name uncultured bacterium. RNAcentral describes it as "bacterial SSU rRNA". It matches the Rfam family "Bacterial small subunit ribosomal RNA", at positions 32 to 450 of the family's 1533-position model. The record is from RNAcentral.